CAGCCGCCGCGGUAAUACGUAGGGGGCGAGCGUUACCCGGAUUCACUGGGCGUAAAGGGGGUGUAGGCGGCUCGGUAAGUCGGGUGUGAAAUCCCACGGCUCAACCGUGGAAUUGCGCCCGAAACUGCCGAGCUUGGGGCCGGUAGAGGGAGACGGAACUGCCGGUGUAGGGGUGAAAUCCGUAGAUAUCGGCAGGAACGCCGGUGGGGAAGCCGGUCUCCUGGGCCGCGCCCGACGCUGAGGCCCGAAAGCUAGGGGAGCAAACCGGAUUAGAUACCCGGGUAGUCCUAGCCGUAAACGAUGCCCACUAGGUGUGGGGGAGUAUUUCCUCCGUGCUGGAGCUAACGCGUUAAGUGGGCCGCCUGGGGAGUACGCCCGCAAGGGUGAAAUUUAAAGGAAUUGGCGGG
This 407-nucleotide ribosomal RNA is filed under the name uncultured microorganism. RNAcentral's name for it is "bacterial SSU rRNA". It matches the Rfam family "Bacterial small subunit ribosomal RNA", at positions 509 to 917 of the family's 1533-position model. The record is from RNAcentral.